This 30-nucleotide non-coding RNA is filed under the name Mus musculus (house mouse). Lineage: Eukaryota; Metazoa; Chordata; Mammalia; Rodentia; Muridae. The record is from RNAcentral.
UGUGAACUACUGACCAGAUUUUAACCUGCC